AUUAUUUUAAGCUAUAUAUUAGGAGUAAAUAAAAUUUAUGAAAUUAAAAAAUUUUGGCGGUAUUUUAAGCUUAUUAGAGGAAUUUGCUCUGUGAUGGACACAACGCCUUAAUCUUACUUAAUUUAGUAAUUUAAAUCAGUUUGUAUACCACUAUAUUAAUUAUAUUGAAUAGUUAUAUUUAAAAUUUUUUUAAAAAAAUAUAUUAAGUCAAGGUGCAUCUAAUAAUUAUGAAUGAAGUGAAUUACAUUAAUUUUAAUGUAAUUUUUUUUCAUGAAAAAAUUAAUUAGGAUUUAAUAGUAAAAUACUAAUAUUAUGAGUAUUUGAAUCAAGCUCUAAAAUAUGCAC
RNAcentral lists this ribosomal RNA (345 nucleotides) under Ixodes scapularis (black-legged tick). RNAcentral's name for it is "partial 12S ribosomal RNA". Lineage: Eukaryota; Metazoa; Arthropoda; Arachnida; Ixodida; Ixodidae. The record is from RNAcentral.